AUGACCUGAGCCAAAAUCAGGAGUCCGACACUCAACCGACUGAGCCACCCAGGACCCUGGGAUCAUGACCUGAGCUGAAGGCAGACGCUUCACUGACUGAGCCCCCCCGGCGCCCCUCUUCAACUCCUUCUAAUCUGCCCCCACCCCACCACCGUGCACCAAAGUGGGGUGUCGACACCAACGAUCACGUUGCCAAAUCCAGUGGCUCCUUUCUGACUUUAUCCUGUGGGACCCUCAGACCCCCUCCUCUUGCGACCUCUGAGACACUGCCCUCUCUGUCUCCUCUACACAAGCUCUACAAGGUAUUGAUCAUUCCCAAAGGACAUCUGCAACAACGUACUGUCGUCUGAGCUGUUUAUCCGCACUUCCAGCUGCCUACCAGACAUGUCCUCUUCCAUGUCUCACAGACAUCAUAAGCCUGAAUGAGAAAAUGGGACUUCGGAUCCCCAGUCACCACAAGCCGUCUGUCUCCGUAUGCGACAGAAGCACCCAGGCGUCCAAGCCAGAUCCUCAGACGUCGGGCUGUUGUUAAUAGACUUCAUUAAGGAGGGACAGCUGAAAAGCAGAGAAGUACACCCACCGCGUGUGUGCGGCUCAGUGACUUGUCACGAUGCACACAGCCACAUGGCACGCACGGUGUAGACCGCGCUGCGUCUGCUCCAAAGCACCCCGAAGUUUAGGGGCUGAAACAAUGGCAUUUUGUUUGCCCACGGACCUGCAGUUUGGGCAGGGCUCAGACAGGAUAUGCCUCAUCUGCCGCUCUCAGCGUCGGCUGGAACGGUCUGAAGGCCGGGGCUGGAACCAUCUGGAGACCCCUGCACACACACGGCUGUCCGCCGAGGACCCUACUGGGGCCAAGACACCUGAACAUACCACGUGGCUUCUUCCCAGCACAGGAACUGGCUUCUAAGGGGGAGGGUCUUGCAAGAGCCCUGGGGAGGCUGUGUCACCUUUGCGGCCUGGACUCUGUCGCACUCUCUUCAUUAGAAGCAAGUUGCUAAGGCCAGUCUGUACUCAAGGGGAAAGGAAUUACAGUCCAACUUUGGGUGGGAGGAGUGCCAAAGAACUCACGGGCAUGUUUAAAACCAGUACAAAGGCACUUCUGUCAUUCCAGAAAGGUCCGUCACACACAGAGAAUGGAAUUGUGCAGCACAGGCGCUCUUGCAUCCGGCCUCUAUACGGGGCUGCGUUGCUGCCCAUAGCAGCACCUCAUGGCUUUUCAUUCCCGUGGAGUGUUCCAUUGUAUGACCAUAGCCCAUUUUGUCCCUUCUACCCUUAAGGGACAUCCGGGUGGUGUUCAGUUUGGGGCUGGCGUAAAUAAAGUGCCUGUCUUGG
Ailuropoda melanoleuca (giant panda) is the source of this 1335-nucleotide long non-coding RNA. RefSeq lists it as uncharacterized. The record is from RefSeq and is a predicted model, not a curated record. The transcript is spliced from 3 exons. NCBI's taxonomy places the organism in Eukaryota, Metazoa, Chordata, Mammalia, Carnivora, Ursidae.